Molecule: ribosomal RNA, 468 nt
Filed under: uncultured bacterium
Lineage: Bacteria
Description: partial 16S ribosomal RNA
Rfam family: Bacterial small subunit ribosomal RNA
Source: RNAcentral
GACGAACGCUGGCGGCGCGCCUAACACAUGCAAGUCGAACGGAGUCAAGAGGAGCUUGCUUUUCUUGACUUAGUGGCGAACGGGUGAGUAACGCGUGAGUAACCUGCCCUGGAGUGGGGGACAACAGUUGGAAACGACUGCUAAUACCGCAUAAGCCCACGGAUCCGCAUGGAUCUGCGGGAAAAGGAUUUAUUCGCUUCAGGAUGGACUCGCGUCCAAUUAGCUAGUUGGUGAGGUAACGGCCCACCAAGGCGACGAUUGGUAGCCGGACUGAGAGGUUGAACGGCCACAUUGGGACUGAGACACGGCCCAGACUCCUACGGGAGGCAGCAGUGGGGGAUAUUGCAAAAUGGGGGAAACCCUGAUGCAGCGACGCCGCGUGGAGGAAGAAGGUUUUCGGAUUGUAAACUCCUGUCGUUAGGGACGAUAAUGACGGUACCUAACAAGAAAGCACCGGCUAACUACGUG